AUACGGAGGAUCCGAGCGUUAUCCGGAUUUAUUGGGUUUAAAGGGAGCGUAGAUGGAUGUUUAAGUCAGUUGUGAAAGUUUGCGGCUCAACCGUAAAAUUGCAGUUGAUACUGGAUAUCUUGAGUGCAGUUGAGGCAGGCGGAAUUCGUGGUGUAGCGGUGAAAUGCUUAGAUAUCACGAAGAACUCCGAUUGCGAAGGCAGCCUGCUAAGCUGCAACUGACAUUGAGGCUCGAAAGUGUGGGUAUCAAACAGGAUUAGAUACCCUGGUAGUCCACACGGUAAACGAUGAAUACUCGCUGUUUGCGAUAUACGGCAAGCGGCCAAACGAAAGCGUUAAGUAUUCCACCUGGGGAGUACGCCGGCAACGGUGAAACUCAAAUGAAUUGACGGGG
RNAcentral lists this ribosomal RNA (393 nucleotides) under uncultured bacterium. Its description in RNAcentral is "partial 16S ribosomal RNA". It matches the Rfam family "Bacterial small subunit ribosomal RNA", at positions 523 to 918 of the family's 1533-position model. The record is from RNAcentral.